UUGGAGGGCAAGUCUGGUGCCAGCAGCCGCGGUAAUUCCAGCUCCAAUAGCGUAUAUUAAAGUUGUUGCAGUUAAAAAGCUCGUAGUUGAAUUUCGGGAUCAAAUUGUUGGUCGUGCCUCGGUACGCACUGGUAUUAUUGGUUCCUACCUUCUGAAGAACCGCGAUGUCAUUAAUUUGGUGUCGUGGGGAAUCAGGACUGUUACUUUGAAAAAAUUAGAGUGUUUAAAGCAGGCUUACGCUUGAAUACAUUAGCAUGGAAUAAUGAAAUAGGACGUUUGAUUCUAUUUUGUUGGUUUCUAGGAUCGACGUAAUGAUUAAUAGGGAUAGUUGGGGGCAUUAGUAUUCAAUUGUCUGAGGCGAAAUUCUUGGAUUUAUUGAAGACUAACUACCGCGAAAGCAUUUGCCAAGGAUGUUUUCGUUAAUCAAGAACGAAAGUUAGGGGAUCGAAGACGAUCAGAUACCGUCGUAGUCUUAACCAUAAACUAUGCCGACUAGGGAUCGGAUGAUGUUAAUUUUUUAAUGACUCAUUCGGCGCCUUACGGGAAAC
RNAcentral lists this ribosomal RNA (548 nucleotides) under uncultured Glomeromycotina. RNAcentral's name for it is "SSU rRNA". It matches the Rfam family "Eukaryotic small subunit ribosomal RNA", at positions 548 to 1098 of the family's 1831-position model. Lineage: Eukaryota; Fungi; Glomeromycota. The record is from RNAcentral.